RNAcentral lists this ribosomal RNA (253 nucleotides) under uncultured bacterium. RNAcentral's name for it is "partial 16S ribosomal RNA". It matches the Rfam family "Bacterial small subunit ribosomal RNA", at positions 524 to 776 of the family's 1533-position model. The record is from RNAcentral.
UACGGAGGGGGCUAGCGUUGUUCGGAAUUACUGGGCGUAAAGCGCACGUAGGCGGAUCAGUUAGUCAGGGGUGAAAUCCUGGAGCUCAACUCCAGAACUGCCUUUGAUACUGAGAAGCUUGAGUCCGGGAGAGGUGAGUGGAACUGCGAGUGUAGAGGUGAAAUUCGUAGAUAUUCGCAAGAACACCAGUGGCGAAGGCGGCUCACUGGCCCGGUACUGACGCUGAGGUGCGAAAGCGUGGGGAGCAAACAGG